UACGGGGGGGGCAAGCGUUGUUCGGAAUUACUGGGCGUAAAGGGCUCGUAGGCGGCCAACUAAGUCGGACGUGAAAUCCCUCGGCUUAACCGGGGAACUGCGUCCGAUACUGUUGUGCUAGAGUGCGGAAGGGGCAACUGGAAUUCUCGGUGUAGCGGUGAAAUGCGUAGAUAUCGAGAGGAACACCUGCGGCGAAGGCGGGUUGCUGGGCCGACACUGACGCUGAUGCGCGAAAGCCAGGGGAGCGAACGGG
RNAcentral lists this ribosomal RNA (253 nucleotides) under uncultured bacterium. Its description in RNAcentral is "partial 16S ribosomal RNA". It matches the Rfam family "Bacterial small subunit ribosomal RNA", at positions 524 to 776 of the family's 1533-position model. The record is from RNAcentral.